UGGGAUGUAAUUAGUGAGUCACCAGGUGAAGGUGUUACAGAAGGGAGAGCAAAAACCUAUAAAAACAGGACUCACAGGCUGCCUGGGUUUGGGAGGAGGUGAGAAGAUGCGCCCUAGGAAGCUGCAUGGCCUGAUUUGAGGUCUUGCGAAGGACAGCAAGGCCUGCACCACGGACCCAGGCAGAUUUCCCUCGCGGGGUGAGCGGAUCCAGUUUCAUUGCUAAUGGGUUUCCCAGGAUUUGCAGAUGUGAAUUGCUCGCAUUCCUGACUCCAAGGGAAGCAGCAGCUUUUGCAAGUGAGAGUCAAACCCUGACCUGCCCCUCGGGCUCUUGGUCAGGGGUCCAAGGAAAAGCAGACGUGGCUUCAAACCGCCCUCCUCAAACUCACUCUGCUCAGACUGCAGGACUAUUUAACACACUUCAGCUUCUUAUAAAGUUUCUGUCAAGAAGGAUUAGCAGUGGGCUGACAGAUUGCUAUUACAGCCCUAGUGAACUUUUAAUACCUGCCAGUAAAUUCUGCCAGUCCCUUAAAUCCUCUUGCAGGCACUCGGUUUGGGGAGCAAAGGCUGCUGCUUGCAGUGCCGGUAUGGAGGGUGGUGCCUCUGCCUCUCUCCAAGCUGUCAGUGUGAAGAAAUGACCUCCGGGGAUUCCGAUAUUGUCCUCCACAGGGUCUCAAAAGAGCCUAUGUGUAGGUGAAUUCACCUCUCUGUAGGUGAAUUUUGUCCCCUUUCCCCAUGGGGUGAGGCACUGAUGGUGGAGCUGGAGGUCCCCAGGGUGCAGGAGGAACCUGAACCUCCAAGGGAGGCAUCUGGGUUUGGGCAGAGGUUGGGGUGGUUGGAGGCACCCUUGGGGGCCGCUGUCCAUGCGGUCUGAUGGCUAGGAUUAGAGCAUCGCUUAGAGGUGAGACCUGCCAUCAGUUAUCCCUCAGGCAGGCUUGGGGUGCUCGAGGGAUGCUGUGG
Molecule: long non-coding RNA, 957 nt
Filed under: Anser brachyrhynchus (Pink-footed goose)
Lineage: Eukaryota; Metazoa; Chordata; Aves; Anseriformes; Anatidae
Description: lncRNA (ENSABRG00000022731.1)
Source: RNAcentral